This 258-nucleotide long non-coding RNA is filed under the name Mytilus galloprovincialis (Mediterranean mussel). The record is from RNAcentral. Lineage: Eukaryota; Metazoa; Mollusca; Bivalvia; Mytilida; Mytilidae.
CCAGUGUAUUUUUCGCAUAUUCUAAUAUUUUUCCUCAUUUUGAAAAUAGUUGUCUGCUUUUCACCACUGCCAGUGAAUUUGCCAUCUUGGAGAUUCCUUUUUUACCCUCUGGAGCAUCUCCCUGCCAAAUUUUUUUUGGAUAUGACAUAACCAAAAAAAAACGAGCUUACGCUUAUAAGUACAUUCAUAGUUCCCACAGUUCUAUGAUAAUAUCCUCUUAUCCUCAAAAUUAUGCAUCAACAUGUUAAUGAAUUACAG